UUUUACGUGUGUUUGUGUGCCUGGUUAAAAAGGUUUUAGACACUUGCUCACAUUGCUGAGCAAAUCCUUGUCAGGUGAGAGGACUGAGCCCUGGAGGAGGCGGGAAGAAGGACAAGGAAUGCCAAAGAUGGGGUUGGGGUGGAGGUGCGGGGGUCCCUGUUAAAUCUCGGUAAUCCCCUUAAUGAUGGUUUAAGCUCCUAAAAUGUUUCACUGAAAUGUGCACCUGCGCACAGCCGAGUGAGCAAACACACGAGAACGCUGCUGCAGAAACGGAGCAGUCUCAGUCAUCUAACACGGAUUCUGGGUAAGAUGGCACCAUAGCAACGACGGCAGCGUUCAGUGUGGAGAAGCAGGAGUGACAUCUGAUUGUGAGAUCUGAAACUGUGUGUUGUGCCAAAAACUGAUCAUCUGAAAAGAAGUGAUUUAUGAUAUUUGUGGGGGUUUUUAAGGUCUAAUCUCUUUCUUUUUUUAAAAUUAAAACAUUUAAAAAACAAUGUAAAAAAAAUUGGUUUUAGUUUAAUUGUUUUAAUUAAAUUGUGCUUUUUAUGGACCUUCUGUGUUUUAAAUAUAUAUUUUUAUUUUUUGGAUCAAUUAUUAUUAUUAUUAUUUAUUCAUGUUUGUGUUUUAUUAUUUUAUUUUAUUUAUUUUUCUGUAAUUUUAUUCUGUCCUUAAUGUUUGGUCAGCAUUUACUGUUUCAAAGUGCUUUAUAAAUACAGUUGAGAGAAAAGCCGAUAAGCUGAUCAUUGAUCAGUUUCAUGAUUGAAGUAGAAACAGGAGAGGGAGGGGGGAGAAUGAGAGAAAAAGAGGCACCUCUGCAGCUAAGACACUCAAUAACUCCAGCUUUGUGUCUUUUUCAUUGUAGCUGAAGUACAGGACAAACUGUUCCUUUUCACCACAAUACAAAACGCUCUGAAUACCAGAUGUUUCUGUUUUUUACAGGACGGUUGGCAACUCUAAUAAUUAACCUUAUGAACAAAAUAAAGUUCAACAUCAUUAACAUCAUAGCACCCACCCAGCUGUAUAGAAACUCCGUCAUGCUAGCUAGCACGCAGUACGGAAAAAGUCAGAAUAACGAAAAUAAACUCCACCUAAACUUGGUUUAUAUCUG
Molecule: long non-coding RNA, 1108 nt
Organism: Astatotilapia calliptera (eastern happy)
Lineage: Eukaryota; Metazoa; Chordata; Actinopteri; Cichliformes; Cichlidae
Source: Ensembl